RNAcentral lists this ribosomal RNA (1235 nucleotides) under metagenome. Its description in RNAcentral is "bacterial LSU rRNA". It matches the Rfam family "Bacterial large subunit ribosomal RNA", at positions 1564 to 2810 of the family's 2925-position model. The record is from RNAcentral.
UGAAUACGAGAUGCUACGGCGUCGAAGCAGUCUAUGUCAGACUUCCAAGAAAAGCUCGCAAUGUCAUAAACAAUAAAUGCCUGUACCAUAACCGACACAGGUGGGUAGGUAGAGUAUACUAAGGGGCGCGAGAUAACUCUCUCUAAGGAACUCGGCAAAAUGACUCCGUAACUUCGGGAGAAGGAGUGCCUUAUUUAUAAGGUUGCAAUAACAAGAUCCAAGCAACUGUUUACCAAAAACACAGGUCUCCGCUAAGUCGUAAGACGAUGUAUGGGGGCUGACGCCUGCCCAGUGCCAGAAGGUUAAAGAAGUUGGUUAGCCUAGCGAAGCUGAUGACUGAAGCCCUGGUGAACGGCGGCCGUAACAAUAACGGUCCUAAGGUAGCGAAAUUCCUUGUCGGGUAAGUUCCGACCCGCACGAAAGGCGUAAUGAUUUGGAUACUGUCUCGGAGAGGGGCUCGGUGAAAUAGACUUGUCUGUGAAGAUGCGGACUACCUGCACCUGGACAGAAAGACCCUAUGAAGCUUUACUGUAACUUGAGAUUGAAAUUGGACUUUAUUUGCGCAGUAUAGGUGGGAGACGUUGAGAAUACUCUUGCGGGAGUAUUGGAGUCAUCAGUGAGAUACCACUCUUGUAAUCUUAGAUUUCUAACUUUGUAUCAUUAUCUGGUCAAAGGACAGUUUCAGGCGGGCAGUUUGACUGGGGCGGUCGCCUCCCAAGUGGUAACGGAGGCGCACAAAGGUUUCCUCUGAACGUGUAGAAAUCGUAUCUAGAGUGUAAAGGCAUAAGGAAGCUUGACUGUGAGACCUACAAGUCGAGCAGGGACGAAAGUCGGUCUUAGUGAUCUGACGGUGCUGAGUGGAAAGGCCGUCACUCAACGGAUAAAAGUUACUCUAGGAUAACAGGCUGAUCUCCCCCAAGAGUUCACAUCGACGGGGAGGUUUGGCACCUCGAUGUCGGCUCAUCGCAUCCUGGGGCGGUAGUACGUCCCAAGGGUUGGGCUGUUCGCCCAUGAAAGCGGUACGCGAGCUGGGUUCAGAACGUCGUGAGACAGUUCGGUCCAUAUCCGGUGUAGGCGUUAGAAUAUUGAGAGGAGCCUUCUUUAGUACGAGAGGACCGAGAAGGACAUACCUCUGGUGUACCAGUUAUCGUGCCAACGGUAAACGCUGGGUAGCUAUGUAUGGAGUGGAUAACCGCUGAAAGCAUCUAAGUGGGAAGCCCACCUCAAGAUAAGUA